This 440-nucleotide ribosomal RNA is filed under the name uncultured bacterium. Its description in RNAcentral is "partial 16S ribosomal RNA". It matches the Rfam family "Bacterial small subunit ribosomal RNA", at positions 338 to 795 of the family's 1533-position model. The record is from RNAcentral.
CCUACGGGAGGCAGCAGUGGGGAAUAUUGCACAAUGGGGGAAACCCUGAUGCAGCGACGCCGCGUGAGUGAAGAAGUAUCUCGGUACGUAAAGCUCUAUUAGCAGGGAAGAAAAUGACGGUACCUGACUAAGAAGCCGCGGCUAAAUACGUGCCAGCAGCCGCGGGAAUACGUAGGGGGCAGGCGUUAUCCGGAUUUACUGGGGGUAAAGGGAGCGUAGACGGCAGCACAAGUCUGGAGUGAAAUCCCGGGGCUUAACCCCGGGACUGCUGUGGAAACUGUGCGGCUGGAGUGCAGGAGGGGUAAGCGGAAUGCCUAGUGUAGCGGUGAAAUGCAUAGAUAUUAGGAGGAACACCAGUGGCGAAGGCGGCUUACUGGACUGUAACUGACGUUGAGGCUCGAAAGCGUGGGGAGCAAACAGGAUUAGAUACCCCAGUAGUC